GGGAGCGUUAUAUAAAGUGGCAAAUAGGGAGGUACGGGGCUAAGAACAGCAACUGGGCAGUUGGUACAGGAGAGCGGUUGGUGUUGUGUGUGGAAACAAGUGUUUAAAACAAAGUAAACAACGUGACCAGGAGAGUGGGGUUCGUUUACAAAAGGACAUCAGACCAGGAAUAAACGGAAUACAGUGGUGGAUACCAGUGAAACGAACUAUGGACAGAGGAAAACAACUACGGUGCAGCAAGGCAGUUGAAACAAACUUUUAAUAUCCUAAACGGGAGUGGGGUUUGGAUUUUUAAGAGAUCUGUGUCGUGUGUUUUCAAGCUGGGGCUGUGAGUGAAAACAGCAACCAAAGACAGUUUUAUUCCUGCGAUAACGAGUGUGGAGUGUGUUCAUUUGAACUUGGCGUGUAUAGUGCAGAGAUAAACAGCUUGUAAAACAACGCUGGUACCAGAGACGUUAUAAAAGUGUACAAAGUAGUGCUUUGUGAAAUUUGUGCUGGGUUUAAGGACUGUGUAUUAUUCAAAAGGAUCACCAGGACACGUGGAGACGGGAAAUCCCUGCAGUAUAUAAAUGUGUAUUAAAACUACAAGUAUUUCUCAGUUUUAUAGAGUCAACACAGUUAAUUUCAAGACCUUUUAUUUUUAGUUGUUGGCUGGAACGAAUACGUGGUAUUUUGAGUUAGCUCUGUUCGGGAAAACAAGCCUUGUUCUUUUCUUUUACUUUAUAAACGCUGGGAUUACUUCAUCCUCCUUACCAGGAUUUACCUGCUGGGGGCACCCUUGGUCGUCGGUGAAACCUGAAAGCAGAACGGAAGUUUGUACAGCCCUAGGCACGGAUUAUACAGUUGCAACGAUGAAACAAAGUACAUUUUCUUGGAAGGCCUCCUGGUGGCGAGUAGUGGAAUUGUAGGCCAGAGGACUUUCAACUCAAUCUUGACAAGCCUGUUCCAGCCCAGCUCAGGCGUGAGUAUGUGAAUGGGAGGCACAUGUACACAGAGCUCUCCGCUGUCAAAGGAGAUGGAAGUGUGUCUGCAGUAUGAUGUGCUGUUCCAGGGUCUACCUGUUCGAGAGCACCUCCUGCUGUACGUAUCUAUCAAAGCACCUCAGUGGAGGAGAGGCUAACUGUGUCAGGAAGUGAACAGCACUGACAGGACUCGGGAGGGAGACUGGAGCCAGCCUGCUUCUCAAACAGAUAACUGCACUGCUGAACAAACACCACAGCAGAAGAGACUGGGAAGGAGCCUUAGCUAACUUACUUCUGCCAGUUCUUUUUGUCACCAUGGCAAUGGCCCUUUUCACUGUAAAAACGCUGGUGAUUGAUUAUCCAUCACUCAAGCUGACUCCCCAGUUAUACAACGCUGCAGGGUUGUUUUUCAGAGAAAAUUCAUCCUGCUGGUGGUCUGACCCUGAUUCUGUGGAAUACCUCCCCGAAAAUGCAAAUGUGUGUCAAGCCGUCAACAGGUGGAAACCUCUGGUGAUCCCAGCAGAGAGGGCGUUGGAUAUGCACCACAGCCGGGGCACAACUCCGCCGCGGGGUUUUCUCAAAAAAGUCUCCCAGCCGUCAUCCCAGACCUCCUUUUCCCGCUCUCCCUUAUCUCCUCUCUCCACUCUUUUCCCCAUUUUCAAAAAUAAUAAAAAAAAAAAAAAAAUCAAAUUAAAAAAAUGUUCCCGCAAUAUCACUGGUCUCACUCUCUGAGGCAAUGAUAUC
Molecule: long non-coding RNA, 1706 nt
Organism: Polyodon spathula (Mississippi paddlefish)
Lineage: Eukaryota; Metazoa; Chordata; Actinopteri; Acipenseriformes; Polyodontidae
Exons: 5
Source: RefSeq, a predicted model, not a curated record